Pocillopora damicornis (cauliflower coral) is the source of this 465-nucleotide long non-coding RNA. The record is from RefSeq and is a predicted model, not a curated record. NCBI's taxonomy places the organism in Eukaryota, Metazoa, Cnidaria, Anthozoa, Scleractinia, Pocilloporidae.
CUUGUUUUUAAAUAGGGGAGGUCAAAAGAAUGUGGACAGCAACACAGUUGCAUUUCAGACGGGAACCAAUGAAUUAAACUAUGCAGUGAACAAAAUAUACGAUGAUCGGGAUGAGGUGGUGGCUGACGGAAACUAAAAAACUUAAGCAGGAAGGAUAUGUUUUAGCCUAUUAGUGUUUUAAGAGAUUUUUAAAAAAAAAAUUUUAAAAAAAUCCACUGAGGAUUCUAAUCAUUUUCCCUAAUAAUAGUCGAAGUAAAAAACGCCACGCGAAAGUAACAGAUACUGUCUUUCUUAUUAGUAAGAGGAGAAUGAGUUAGGUAGCCAGUUUUUGAAUGUGCAAAUAUCUUCUCUGAAAAGAUGGUUAAUUUUAGGUUGUUGUUGUCUGAACGAUGUAAGUUUCUAGGAGUAGAUGAUAACUGUCUCAUAGAGCGUUUUUCUAUUGAGUGUCGUAAACCGAAAACCAAA